UAACUCCGUGCCAGCAGCCGCGGUAAUACGGAGGGUGCGAGCGUUAAUCGGAAUUACUGGGCGUAAAGCGCAUGCAGGCGGCCUGUUAAGUCAGAUGUGAAAGCCCGGGGCUUAACCUCGGAAUUGCAUUUGAAACUGGCAGGCUAGAGUCUUGUAGAGGGGGUAGAAUUUCAGGUGUAGCGGUGAAAUGCGUAGAGAUCUGAAGGAAUACCAGUGGCGAAGGCGGCCCCCUGGACAAAGACUGACGCUCAGAUGCGAAAGCGUGGGGAGCAAACAGGAUUAGAUACCCUGGUAG
This 295-nucleotide ribosomal RNA is filed under the name uncultured bacterium. RNAcentral's name for it is "partial 16S ribosomal RNA". It matches the Rfam family "Bacterial small subunit ribosomal RNA", at positions 498 to 793 of the family's 1533-position model. The record is from RNAcentral.